RNAcentral lists this ribosomal RNA (468 nucleotides) under uncultured bacterium. RNAcentral's name for it is "partial 16S ribosomal RNA". It matches the Rfam family "Bacterial small subunit ribosomal RNA", at positions 28 to 507 of the family's 1533-position model. The record is from RNAcentral.
GACGAACGCUGGCGGCGUGCUUAACACAUGCAAGUCGAACGGAAAGGCCCUGCUUUUGUGGGGUGCUCGAGUGGCGAACGGGUGAGUAACACGUGAGUAACCUGCCCUUGACUUUGGGAUGACUUCAGGAAACUGGGGCUAAUACCGGAUAGGAGCUCCUGCUGCAUGGUGGGGGUUGGACAGUUUCGGCGGUUGGGGAUGGACUCGCGGCUUAUCAGCUUGUUGGUGGGGUAGUGGCUUACCAAGGCUUUGACGGGUAGCCGGCCUGAGAGGGUGACCGGCCACAUUGGGACUGAGGUACGGCCCAGACUCCUACGGGAGGCAGCAGUGGGGAAUAUUGCACAAUGGGCGGAAGCCUGAUGCAGCAACGCCGCGUGCGGGAUGACGGCCUUCGGGUUGUAAACCGCUUUCGCCUGUGACGAAGCGUGAGUGACGGUAAUGGGUAAAGAAGCACCGGCUAACUACGUG